AUUGAACGCUGGCGGCAUGCCUUACACAUGCCAGUCGAACGGCAGCAUGAUCUCGCUUGCUAGAUUGAUGGCGAGUGGCGAACGGGUGAGUAAUACAUCGGAACGUGCCCUGUAGUGGGGGAUAACUAGUCGAAAGAUUAGCUAAUACCGCAUACGACCUGAGGGUGAAAGUGGGGGACCGCAAGGCCUCAUGCUAUAGGAGCGGCCGAUGUCUGAUUAGCUAGUUGGUGAGGUAAAGGCUCACCAAGGCGACGAUCAGUAGCUGGUCUGAGAGGACGAUCAGCCACACUGGGACUGAGACACGGCCCAGACUCCUACGGGAGGCAGCAGUGGGGAAUUUUGGACAAUGGGCGAAAGCCUGAUCCAGCAAUGCCGCGUGUGUGAAGAAGGCCUUCGGGUUGUAAAGCACUUUUGUCCGGAAAGAAAUGGCUCUGGUUAAUACCUGGGGUCGAUGACGGUACCGGAAGAAUAAGGACCGGCUAACUACGUG
Molecule: ribosomal RNA, 490 nt
Filed under: uncultured bacterium
Lineage: Bacteria
Description: partial 16S ribosomal RNA
Rfam family: Bacterial small subunit ribosomal RNA
Source: RNAcentral